RNAcentral lists this ribosomal RNA (457 nucleotides) under Entrophospora lamellosa. RNAcentral describes it as "LSU rRNA". It matches the Rfam family "Eukaryotic large subunit ribosomal RNA", at positions 358 to 668 of the family's 3401-position model. The record is from RNAcentral. Lineage: Eukaryota; Fungi; Glomeromycota; Glomeromycetes; Entrophosporales; Entrophosporaceae.
GGAAAGAUGAAAAGAACUUUGAAAAGAGAGUUAAAAAGUACGUGAAAUUGUUGAAAGGGAAACGUUUGAAGUUAGUGGAACUGGUACAAAAUCAGCUUACGCAUUAAGGCAAUUAGCGCAUUGGCGAGCCUAAAAACCGCCAUAGUCGAUAUUCAAUUACUCGUGUGGGGUGCACUUUUGUAUCGGCUGGUUAACAUCAAUUUUGACUGUCAUAAAAAGGCUAAAGGGAAUCGGGCUCCUUUGGGAGUGUGAUAAACUUUAAGCGGAAUAUGGUGGUCGGGAUUGAGGAUUGCAACGAAUACCUUUAGGGCUGCUCAAACUGGUCUGAUCGCCCCACUUUAGUUAUCAUAUAUAUGGUGUGUUCCGCCAAUUAUAGGGGUGGUUAGUCAGGUGGUGCAAAUUCGUUAAGGAUGUUAACGAAAUGGCUUUAAACGACCCCGUCUUGAAACACGGACCA